RNAcentral lists this ribosomal RNA (233 nucleotides) under uncultured bacterium. Its description in RNAcentral is "partial 16S ribosomal RNA". It matches the Rfam family "Bacterial small subunit ribosomal RNA", at positions 559 to 793 of the family's 1533-position model. The record is from RNAcentral.
CGUAAAGCGCACGCAGGCGGUUGUUAAGUCAGAUGUGAAAUCCCCGGGCUCAACCUGGGAACUGCAUCUGAUACUGGCAAGCUUGAGUCUCGUAGAGGGGGUAGAAUUCCAGGUGUAGCGGUGAAAUGCGUAGAGAUCUGGAGGAAUACCGGUGGCGAAGGCGGCCCCCUGGACGAAGACUGACGCUCAGGUGCGAAAGCGUGGGGAGCAAACAGGAUUAGAUACCCUGGUAG